This 62-nucleotide ribosomal RNA is filed under the name uncultured bacterium. RNAcentral describes it as "partial 16S ribosomal RNA". The record is from RNAcentral.
UGGGCUUGACAUCCUGUGGAUUCCAUAGACAUAUGUAUGUAGACUCCCCGGGAUGCCCGGAC